GGAAGUGUCUAGUUCUUUUGUUACUCUUACCAAAGAGAAGUAAAGUAAUAAAGAAAGAAGCGAAAAAGAAAAAGAAAAGGUUUUGUUUUUGGUUUCUGUUUCUCCAUUAAAAGCAACAACAAAAUCUCCUGAAACUAAUUCCAUUAAGUGAAGCAGAUGCAACCAACACCUUCCUCUGGUGGUGGUGGUGGUGGAGGUGGUGGAGAGAAUCGAGUUGGGUUGGCUCGUUUCAGGUCUGCACCACCAACUUGGUUAGAAGCACUUCUUGAGGAAGAAGAAGAAGAAGAGGACCCAUUAAAGCCAACCCAAACUCUGACUCAAUUAUUAGCAUCAAACACUACUAGAAAUUCUUUACCCUUUGGGCCUUCUAGUUCUUCUGUUGUUGAACCGGGUGGUGGCAGUAAUUUGUUUGAACCGGGUGGUGGUGGUGGUUUUCAAAGGCAACAUAGUUCUCCAGCUGAUUUUUUAGUGAAUUCAGGGAUUGGAAAUGAUGGGUAUUUUGCUAACUUUGGAAUUCCUCCAAAUUAUGAAUAUAUUUCACCCAAUAUGGAUGUUUCUCCUUCUGGUAAAAGGACUAGAGAUGUUCAGUUGCAGCACUCUUCUGCUAAUAAGUACCCUCCUCUCUUGAAAGGAGAGCAAAGUAGUCAGGUUCCUGGUGGUGGUGAUGGGAUGUCUAGUUUGAUAGAAAUGGAAAUGGAGAAGCUUUUAGAGGAUUCAGUACCAUGUAGAGUUCGUGCGAAGCGAGGCUGUGCUACACAUCCUCGGAGUAUUGCAGAGAGGGUUCGAAGAACUCGAAUCAGUGACCGAAUAAGGAAGCUUCAGGAACUUGUUCCAAACAUGGAUAAGGUACAUGUCAAAUUUUUGGUAGAGUUAUCACCUGAAUUAAGGUACAAACUCUCUCAAUCCCAACGUGACAAUGACUUCUUCUGAUAGGAGUGAGCAACAAAAUAAAUUUCAUGCAAGUAAUUUUCCACGUAAUCAUUAUGUUGGGAAUAACUGUUUGCACAGUUUUGAACUAAGUCAUGUGAACAAGUUGAUGAGGAUUCUUAUGAAGCAGACAAACACUGCAGAUAUGUUAGAUGAGGCAGUGGGGUAUGUUAAGUUUCUCCAAAGGCAAAUUCAGGAACUCACGGAACAUCAAAGGAAAUGCACAUGCAUGGCCAAAGAAUAACAGGAAGGAGAUGAAACCUGUAAUGAGAAUUGCAUAUCUUUAGAGUCCAUGAUCAAGGCUUACUGCUUCAUCUUGAAAAGACUCGCUCUCUGAAGUCAACUUGGUAUGGCUGUAGUUGUAGAAUAUUGUAUACAAUAAUAUUCUUCAAGGUAGUGCUCUUCAAGUUUAUAUAUAUUCAUUAUCAUUGUUUCCAAAAUUAUAUCAUAUAUUUAGGAAUCUGUAUUCUGUUGAACUCUCUUACAAAUCAGGAAGCUAUUUUUAUCAAUAAAAAUCUUUGGUCGAUGAUUCAGAUA
Molecule: RNA transcript, 1464 nt
Organism: Ricinus communis (castor bean)
Lineage: Eukaryota; Viridiplantae; Streptophyta; Magnoliopsida; Malpighiales; Euphorbiaceae
Gene name: transcription factor bHLH80
Exons: 8
Source: RefSeq, a predicted model, not a curated record